This 1722-nucleotide long non-coding RNA is filed under the name Homo sapiens (human). RNAcentral's name for it is "HSALNT0132964". Lineage: Eukaryota; Metazoa; Chordata; Mammalia; Primates; Hominidae. The record is from RNAcentral.
AGAAGCUAAGCCCAUGAGGCCCAACGCGGAGGGGCCAAGAUCAGCUCUGGGUGAUGCGAUCCAAGGACGGGGAGAGGCUUAGUCAGGAGGGGAGUUUACCCAGGGCUGGAGGGCACAGGAGAGAAUGGAGGAUAGAUAACGGCUGGUGACUCAGAGCCUAUGGUCCAAACCUGCACAGUGCCACUUGGAUGACACCAGAGAAGAUCAAGGUUAGGGCUGGGGUUGGGCAGAACUGGAGCAGAAACAACUGAGCAAAGCCGAGGGAGGAAAGGCUGUGAUUUCCACGAGCGAUACUGCAGGACUUCCUAGGCCGCUGCUGUCCGGGCGGGGCAUGCAGGAGACCUAAAGUUCCAGGUGGACAGUGGAGCCCAGGAGGGUGCCUGAGACCCCUGCAAGCGGGUGUAACAUAAAGGCCGACUCCAGUGCACACUUUCAGGGCUUCCUCUAUGCUGACCACCGUUCCAGGGCCAUAAAUGAACUCAACAAGCCUGUGAAGUGGAUGCUGUUCUUGCCCCACAUUUACAGACGAGUGACCUGAAGCACAGAGAGGCUGAGGGAAUGGCCAAGGUCCCACAGCUAGGAAAUGGCAAAACCGGGUCCCCAGAAACAUGUAGGGCUCAGCCUGGGCCUGGAGGUGACGGCAGCGUUUGUCAGUGAGGAGAACCCGGGAAGGAGGUGGAGAGUGAUCCUGCAUCCCCAUUUUUCUAGAUGUGUCCACAGAGGCUCAGAAGGAUGAGACUUGCCCUAGACCACGCACCCAGUAAAGGGCCAGAUUCGGGCCAUGAGUCUUUGUUGGAACCAUCACAGGAGAAUGCUGGCUGCUCACUGCGUCUGACCAGGCACACGGGAUUCUGUGUGUGGCCUUUUACUGACAAUGUCCACUUGGAUCAUUUGACUAAGGAGGCAGCUGUCAGCUUCUUCCCUGUAAGAGUAUUCCUUUCUCUUUGUCACUACGAAGGAUGUUGUGGGAGAGGUUCUUAGAAAGCAUGGAAGUAUCCCAUUUCUCAUCAAGCAUCCGCCCACCACUUUCAGCACCCAUGGAUGGUUCUCAGUGGAAUGAAGUAUCACUGUGAGGGCAGCCCCAGAGAGCCUGCCCCAUGUAUUUGCUUAAUGAAUGAAUCUGCACUUCAUUGCCCAAGAGGUGGGUGGAGUGACCACAGCUCCUCAUGCCACCAGGUCCUUUUCUCAUGCAAGCCCUGCACAGGGCCAGGGAGUGGGCAAUGCUGCUUCCAUGCACCCACCUGACUGCAUCCCCCAUCUUUGCGUGAGCAAGCUCCAGGACUCCCCCGGCACCUGCAGCAAAGCCAGAUCUCCUACCAGGAACAACGUGCAGCCCUUCAGGUCCAUGAAGGGUUUUAAGUCAGGGAAGGUGACACAUUUGAUUUAUGUUAAGCAAAACCAAACGAAAACAAAACAAAAGCAAACACCCUGGCUGUUGUGCAAACAGCUUGGAGUGGUUCAGAUUUGCAGUCAGGCAGACCAAUGAAGACUCAGUGAGGAUGUUUGGGAAGGCUGAGUAGAGACCUUAUUUUUAAGCAUGUGAGGAGGCCCAAUGCCAGGGAAGGGCAGGAAGGGGCCCUGGCUCCUCCAAGGCUGCUGGGGCUGUGGACGGCAGGGGAGUUCUAUGUGUACCCACCCCAUCCCGCCAGCCUCUGCUGACUCCUGCCCUGGACACACCAUACCUUUGGUUUCCCUUAGCAGCUCUUCUGUGAACUUGACCAC